UACAGGGGGUGCAAACGUUGCUCGGAAUUAUUGGGCGUAAAGCGCACGUAGGCGGUUUGUUAUGUCGGAUGUGAAAGCCCUUGGCUCAACCGAGGAAGUGCAUCCGAAACUGGCAAGCUAGAGUAUGUAAGAGGGUCGCGGAAUUCCCGGUGUAGAGGUGAAAUUCGUAGAUAUCGGGAGGAACACCGGUGGCGAAGGCGGCGACCUGGGACAAUACUGACGCUGAGGUGCGAAAGCGUGGGGAGCAAACAGG
This 253-nucleotide ribosomal RNA is filed under the name uncultured bacterium. RNAcentral's name for it is "partial 16S ribosomal RNA". It matches the Rfam family "Bacterial small subunit ribosomal RNA", at positions 524 to 776 of the family's 1533-position model. The record is from RNAcentral.